ACGGGAGGCAGCAGUGGGGGAUAUUGCACAAUGGGGGAAACCCUGAUGCAGCGACGCCGCGUGAGUGAUGAAGUAUUUCGGUAUGUAAAGCUCUAUCAGCAGGGAAGAAAAUGACGGUACCUGACUAAGAAGCUCCGGCUAAAUACGUGCCAGCAGCCGCGGUAAUACGUAUGGAGCAAGCGUUAUCCGGAUUUACUGGGUGUAAAGGGAGCGUAGACGGUGACGCAAGUCUGAAGUGAAAGGUGUGGGCUCAACCCGCAAACUGCUUUGGAAACUGUGUGACUAGAGUGUCGGAGAGGUAAGUGGAAUUCCUAGUGUAGCGGUGAAAUGCGUAGAUAUUAGGAGGAACACCAGUGGCGAAGGCGGCUUACUGGACGAUAACUGACGCUGAGGCGCGAAAGCGUGGGGAGCGAACAGGAUUAGAUACCCUGGUA
This 434-nucleotide ribosomal RNA is filed under the name uncultured Clostridium sp. RNAcentral describes it as "partial 16S ribosomal RNA". It matches the Rfam family "Bacterial small subunit ribosomal RNA", at positions 341 to 792 of the family's 1533-position model. Lineage: Bacteria; Bacillati; Bacillota; Clostridia; Eubacteriales; Clostridiaceae. The record is from RNAcentral.